Molecule: unclassified non-coding RNA, 253 nt
Filed under: uncultured Halomonadaceae bacterium
Lineage: Bacteria; Pseudomonadati; Pseudomonadota; Gammaproteobacteria; Oceanospirillales; Halomonadaceae
Description: contains 16S-23S intergenic spacer region
Rfam family: Bacterial small subunit ribosomal RNA
Source: RNAcentral
UACGGAGGGUGCAAGCGUUAAUCGGAAUUACUGGCCGUAAAGCGCGCGUAGAUGGCUUGAUAAGCCGGUUUUGAAGGCCCCGGGCUCAACCUGGGAACGGCAGCCGGAACUGUCAAGCUAGAGUGCAGGAGAGGAAGGUAGAAUUCCCGGUGUAGCGGUGAAAUGCGUAGAGAUCGGGAGGAAUACCAGUCGCGAAGGCGGCCUUCUGGACUGACACUGACACUGAGGUGCGCAAGCGUGGGUAGCCAACAGG